UGUGUGUGUGUGUGUGUGUGUGUGUGUGUGUGUGUGUGUGUGUGUGUGUGUGUGUGAGACUGUGUGUGUCACUGAAGUGUGUUUGAUGAGGUGUGUGUGUGUGUGUUGUGUGUGUGUGUGUGAGACUGUGUGUGUCACUGAAGUGUGUUUGAUGAGAUGUGUGUGUGUGUGUGUGUGUAACGUGGUGUGUGUGUGUCUCAAGCGUUGCAGUCAAUACGAACAUCAACCUCUCGUCUGUUGUUCUUGGUUGUGUUCAUCAUCCGGCAGGCUUUCUCUGCGCUCUCAGGAGAGUCGAAGCACACCCUGCCGCAGCCUUUGGAUUUGCCGUUCUCCCUCUUUAUCUCAGCGUACAUCCCCUGACCUGAAGAACACAGCUGCUGCUCUUGAUUCUAUUAAUGUGCUGCAUAUCAGAAAUGAGAGUUAACACACGUACCACAGUGACUGAACUUCUGCUUGAGCUUCUG
This is a long non-coding RNA of Cyprinus carpio carpio, 464 nucleotides long. The record is from Ensembl. Lineage: Eukaryota; Metazoa; Chordata; Actinopteri; Cypriniformes; Cyprinidae.